GGCUUGGUAGCACUUGGAGUGCAUCUGCAUCUGCAUCUCAUAUCCAGCUCCCCACAAAGGUUAUGCAGAAGGAGCCCGUUCGAUUCGGGCCUGAGCCA
Mycena galopus ATCC 62051 is the source of this 98-nucleotide non-coding RNA. NCBI's taxonomy places the organism in Eukaryota, Fungi, Basidiomycota, Agaricomycetes, Agaricales, Mycenaceae. The record is from the annotation of a GenBank genome assembly.